GUCUCCAGCCUGCCACCUGACCUAUGGAUUUGAGACUUGCCAGCCCCACAAUUCUGGAGGAUACUAAAAGGGGGAUUUCCUGAUCAUCCUAAAUUUUGAUGAGUCUGGCGAAAGAUGCGUUUCUUCUGGAUGUGAUUCUUCUAGAUCAAGCAGUGGAAAGUCUCUGACUUUUACCUUACCCAAGUGGACUCACCCAUCUCCAUAUUAUCACCACAAGCUAUUUUGUUUUGGGAGAUUCAUCCACGUUGACAUGUAUCAGUCUAGGCCAUUCAUUUCCACUGCGAUAUGGCAUGAUGUUUUCUGAAUGUCCUACAAUGUAUCCAUGACUCUGCGAAUGGACACGUAAGUAUUUUUUCUGUUGCACACACCCUUGCUAUGAAUAUUCCUGGACAUGUCAUCUUUUUCACAUGCGCGGUGGUUUCUCUGAGAGAAUAUACCUGGAGUAGAACUGUUGGGCUUGUACAACUUCUCCCUAACUAGAUAUUGCUAAAUUGAUCUCCAAAACGGCUUUAACAGUUUUGUUUUCAAGAGAAGUGCGUAGAAUUACAUCGCUUCAGAUCCUCGUUAGCACACAAGGCUGUCAGACUUUUAAAUUUUAUCAGUCUGAUGGGUUUAAAGUGGUGUAUCGUUGUGGUUUUAAUUAGCACUUCCCCAUUGUUCAAAACACAAUUUUUAAUGGAUGCAUAAUCAUAUUUCAUUAUAAGGAGAAACCACAAUUUAUUCACUCUUCCUGUAUGUUGGACAUA
Trichechus manatus latirostris (Florida manatee) is the source of this 746-nucleotide long non-coding RNA. RefSeq lists it as uncharacterized. The transcript has 3 exons. NCBI's taxonomy places the organism in Eukaryota, Metazoa, Chordata, Mammalia, Sirenia, Trichechidae. The record is from RefSeq and is a predicted model, not a curated record.